GACGAACGCUGGCGGCGUGCUUAACACAUGCAAGUCGAACGGAAAGGCCCUGCUUUUGUGGGGUGCUCGAGUGGCGAACGGGUGAGUAACACGUGAGUAACCUGCCCUUGACUUUGGGAUAACUUCAGGAAACUGGGGCUAAUACCGGAUAGGAGCUCCUGCUGCAUGGGGGGGGUUGGAAAGUUUCGGCGGUUGGGGAUGGACUCGCGGCUUAUCAGCUUGUUGGUGGGGCAGUGGCUUACCAAGGCUUUGACGGGUAGCCGGCCUGAGAGGGUGACCGGCCACAUUGGGACUGCGAUACGGCCCAGACUCCUACGGGAGGCAGCAGUGGGGAAUAUUGCACAAUGGGCGGAAGCCUGAUGCAGCAACGCCGCGUGCGGGAUGACGGCCUUCGGGUUGUAAACCGCUUUCGCCUGUGACGAAGCGUGAGUGACGGUAAUGGGUAAAGAAGCACCGGCUAACUACGUG
This 468-nucleotide ribosomal RNA is filed under the name uncultured bacterium. RNAcentral's name for it is "partial 16S ribosomal RNA". It matches the Rfam family "Bacterial small subunit ribosomal RNA", at positions 28 to 507 of the family's 1533-position model. The record is from RNAcentral.